Molecule: long non-coding RNA, 1859 nt
Organism: Poecilia latipinna (sailfin molly)
Lineage: Eukaryota; Metazoa; Chordata; Actinopteri; Cyprinodontiformes; Poeciliidae
Exons: 2
Source: RefSeq, a predicted model, not a curated record
UUAAGUCAAAGUUUUUCCACUUCCAUCAGAGACACGUCAUCUUAAACGUGAGGCUGUAACGCUCAGCAUUUGCAGGGAUUUAGUGUCUUUAUUGUGAAGUGAGUGUGGUUUUGCUAACAGUGGCAGAAGGACGGAUGGUUUAAUGCUCUCACUUCCCUGGUGAUGUUUCUGCUCAGCUGAAGAACGAGACUUUUCCUCCUGCUGGGACGGAAACUGAACUCCUGGAGCCCAAAUCGAGUUUAGUUUGAUACGGGCUCUGCUUUUACUUAAAUCUGUUUUAUUCUGAGCAUUAACCUCUGAAUGAACCGUGAACACUUUGGAUCGGCCGAAGCGAUGGAUCCGGAGAACUGCCUGUGGAUGCGUGAGUCAGCUAGAAGUAAAAGAUCGUCUACAUUUAGCAAAGAUAAUGCAUUUAGCUGCAGUUUCUUCCACUCCGCAACCAGGAAGCCUGAAAAGUUGACCUCAGUCUCCAGGAAGAUCCGAUUUUCAGGCUGCCAGCUAAAGACCAGUCCAUCCUCUGAAACACUCAGAGGUGGUUCUGCUGAAAUACAUCCGAUAAGAUGAAAACGGUGCUAAAUAUUUGCUCUCCUGGCUGCAGUUUGUAAUUGAACUGUUUAAAAUCUUUGUGUUGUGAGUCUGAAGGUUUCUGUCCCAACAUAGUCUGGAAAAGUACCAAGUGCACAGAUUUCUCCUGAACGCCUCAUCAGGCGCCUGCUGUGUUGACCAGAAACACUUUCAGCCAUAAUUUCCUUUCUUCUCCCACUUUAAUGUUUUCAUGUUUUAACACCUUUCAUCCGCCAACUUCACAUUGUAUUAAUAUUUUAUCAUAGACCACCGCUGAGAGAUAAAACAAUAGCAGUAUAAAUCGCAAAAAAAGUUUUUUCUGAUGGACAUAUGACAAGGGGUCGAUAUAGACGUUUAAUAUACAGAAAAGCCAAUAACAAUAAGAGCUGGACCAAUCAGCAGCAGGCAGACGCGCUAACAGCUAGUAUUAGCUAGCUGUUAGCGUUUGCACAUCCAGUUGGCAAGGAUCUCACAAUAAAGGGAUUAUAAAAAGUUGUAAUGAAGCACAUUUACCUGCUCGAACAGAGAGACGCCUCCUGCAUCAUCACGACGGGUUAAGCUAACCGUUACUAACUCGGAUCACAUUAGAAACAUGCCAAAAAAUUCACUAAACUGCUGAUUACUGAGGAUAAAGUCCAGCUUCAUUCUGCUGUGAACUGAUUUAGUUUUGUAAUCAUCCCAGCUGUGACGAGUCCUGCAGGUGGAAACGAGCCGCCGUCGCUUCCUGGCCGGCGCCGCGUGUUCAGACACUACGGAGCCGCCGGUUCAGACGUGUGCUGGAAUUCACACCGACGGAAAAACUCACAGUACCACAGGAACAUUCGAACCGAUAUGAGUCACGUGACCAACCAUCAGAUUGGAGCAAAGCGGCUUCGUCGUCCAUCAAUGUUUUUGGAUGAGCAUCAGAUUUAUGGACCCACCAUAAACCAGCUGAUUCAAACCUUUUAUAUUGAACAUUUUAUUAAAAUACGCCCUGAUGAGUCUCAUUUGUCUGAUUAAUUCCCGUUAAUGUAACAACCUUUAAACUGGUAUUAAACAUAUUUUCAUUAAACCCACAAAUGUUUUUAAAAAUUGUUUUAAUGGUCUGAUGUAAUAUUCUAAUUUUAAAUAUAUUUGUAUUACCUGUCAGUGUAAAGUCAAAACAACUGAACGUCCAUCUGUGUGUAAUGUAAACAAUGUUAAAAAGUUGAUGAAAUAAAUGGACUUUUCAGUUAUAUUACAGCAAAUGUUUGUAUUUUUGAUAAUAAUCUGCUUUUCCAGGUAAAUUCUCUGUCAUCAGAUUAAAGCUGGAAAUG